CCCUUAGAUGUUCUGGGAUGCACGCGCGUUACACUGAUUCGUUCAACGAGUUUAUGACCUUGCCUGAUGAGGUGGGGGAAUCUUUUCAAAUCGCAUCGUGAUGGGGAUAGAGUAUUGUAACUGUUAGUCUUCAACGAGGAAUUCCUAGUAAGUACGUGUCAUCAGCUCGUACUGAUUAUGUCCCUGCCCUUUGUACACACCGCCCGUCGCUCCUACCGAAUGAGUGCUCAGGUGAAUAGUAUGGACUGCAUCAGUGUUCGGUCUCCGAAUGUUGACGCGAGAAAUUCUGUGAAUCUUAUUGCUUAGAGGAAGGAGAAGUCGUANCA
RNAcentral lists this ribosomal RNA (326 nucleotides) under uncultured eukaryote. RNAcentral describes it as "partial 18S ribosomal RNA". It matches the Rfam family "Eukaryotic small subunit ribosomal RNA", at positions 1470 to 1796 of the family's 1831-position model. The record is from RNAcentral.